This is a non-coding RNA of Rattus norvegicus (Norway rat), 1632 nucleotides long. Lineage: Eukaryota; Metazoa; Chordata; Mammalia; Rodentia; Muridae. The record is from RefSeq and is a predicted model, not a curated record.
CUCUACAUCCACUUUCUACAUUAUGACCUCACCUCCAAGUGACCACCUGCUUUUUCCAAUCCCCUCUUAAGAAUGUUCUUCCUGGAAUGGAAUAUGACUUCUUAAGUGUGGUUUGGCCAAAAGAGACUAUGUAUCUGUCACGGCGGUUUUCUUCUUGUAAUAGACAUUAAGAUCCUUUAAGAAUCCCUGGCCUUUGUUGAACUCAGUGCUCUGGUUUUGUUGGCCCAAGGAGAUACCAAGAGGCAUCAUAUUGGACUGAGUUUGAGGUUGAGAUGGCCAACAAAGUCUUGGAAAUGCCUAUAUAGAAAAGCUAAAAAAGGAAUCAAGAAUGAAGACCUGGGAUCACAGAGGGCUAGAUUGAUCCAUUAGAAGAAGAUUGUGGGGAGAACUUUGGAGAAAGGCAAAACCAGAGCAGUACAGUUUCUGGCUAGGUGACCCACCACUUUCAAGAGGAAAACAACACAACACGACACAACACACAAACGUCCGCUUCCACCUCUCACAAGCAGACGUUGCUUCAUGGAGACCCUGUUGUUUUCAACAGACCACGCUGUGCUGGAGAUGAACUUUCUGUUAUUUGAAUGAAAAUCUUGGUACUUGAAGAGAUCAAGAAAAUGGAAAUACAAGCAUAGCCACAUUGUAUAGGCAAGGAGAAGACUUCACUCAGGUCUCCAAAACGAAUCAUAGGCUCAUCCUUCUUGAGGAAGCAGAAGUAGAGACUCCCACAUCGAGAGCUUGGUGAUGAACGAGCACAGCCCAGAAGUGCACGUCUCAAGUCUGGUAGCUCGUAAGCUGUCUAGGCAGUCAGUAAUGCCUAGGAAGAAGUCUAUCCACUGGCCAUAGAAGACUUUCUGGAGGGGAGGUGGAAGAGUCACGUGGGCAGCCGCUCAACCUGUAGACUGGAGGUUACAGACAAGUCACAGAGCUGGACUCAGCGGAAAUGCUGAAACUGGAGCGUUUGAAUCCUCGGGUGCUCAGACUCUGACCCCGCCCUUAUGUCACGCAAGGGGCAGAAAGGCAUUCAUUACAUUUGUCUUCUCAUUGCCAUGACAGGAACACUUGUCUUCUCAUUGCCAUGACAGGAACACUUGACAGAAGUGACUUAAAGGGAUGGCAAUUUUAGCAAAUGGCUUCAGGGGAAGUCGCCCAUCAUGGAGGGAAGAGGGGACUCCUUCCUGGUCAGUGGGAGCAUGACGGCGGCUGAUCUGGGAGCAGAGAGCUGGACCAGAACUUGAAAUGAAGUCUAAAUGGUUUAUGGGUUCCCAAAAGACCAUCACUGGGUGGGGACAUGGACGUCUUUGGGCACCAUUCUGAUUUAAGUCACAACAGAUAGGAUGGUUGGAAUGAACAGAGCUCUGAACCUUGGCCCCUGUGUAAACCUAAAAAGUCGGAGUUUUUUUGGGGAUGACAUUAAGUGAAGGACAGCUGCCAUCUUCUGUCAUCCUCUGUCCAUGCCAGUCAGGAGCAACAUAACUGUAGGACAGACCACUACUCUCUUUGCAGUGACAGCAGAGCAACUUCCCCCAAACGUACGCUUACCCCAAUAUUUGUGGUAAGAGAACAAAUGGAGCCCCACGGGCUAGAGUGUAAAUGUUGAAUGCAUCGUUAAAUAAAAUAUGCCCUGGCCACUUA